This is a small nucleolar RNA of Acomys russatus (golden spiny mouse), 132 nucleotides long. RefSeq annotates it as small nucleolar RNA SNORA17. NCBI's taxonomy places the organism in Eukaryota, Metazoa, Chordata, Mammalia, Rodentia, Muridae. The transcript has a single exon. The record is from RefSeq and is a predicted model, not a curated record.
UGUGCCCCUACAGGCAUUGUAGAUGUGGCUGCUGUGUCCCAUGUGUGUCAGUAGGUAGCAGAGAGAAGAGAAGCUAUGUCUAUGCUCAGUGUUCUGACCUGUGAACAUCUGAAUGGUUAGUAGCCUAACAUU